UGCGUAGGCGGGCUAAUAAGUCAGUGGUGAAAUCUCUCGGCUCAACCGGGAAACUGCCAUUGAUACUGUUAGUCUUGAGUUCGGUUGAGGUAGGCGGAAUGUGUAAUGUAGCGGUGAAAUGCUUAGAUAUUACACAGAACACCAAUUGCGUAGGCAGCUUACUAGACCGACACUGACGCUGAGGCACGAAAGCGUGGGGAGCGAACAGGAUUAGAUACCCUUGUAGUC
This 228-nucleotide ribosomal RNA is filed under the name uncultured bacterium. RNAcentral's name for it is "partial 16S ribosomal RNA". It matches the Rfam family "Bacterial small subunit ribosomal RNA", at positions 568 to 795 of the family's 1533-position model. The record is from RNAcentral.